This 385-nucleotide unclassified non-coding RNA is filed under the name soil metagenome. RNAcentral describes it as "partial contains 5.8S ribosomal RNA, internal transcribed spacer 2, and large subunit ribosomal RNA". The stretch from base 1 to 120 matches the Rfam family "5.8S ribosomal RNA", at positions 35 to 154 of the family's 154-position model. The record is from RNAcentral.
GAUGAAGAACGUAGCGAAAUGCGAUAAGUAAUGUGAAUUGCAGAAUUCAGUGAAUCAUCGAAUCUUUGAACGCACCUUGCGCUCCUUGGUAUUCCGAGGAGCAUGCCUGUUUGAGUGUCAUGAAAUUCUCAACCUUUUCAGCUUUCUUUGUUGAUCAGGCUUGGAUGUGGGAGUAUGCGGGCUUCUCAGAAGUCGGCUCUCCUGAAAUGCAUUAGCGGGACCUUUGUUGCCUGGCUUUGGUGUGAUAAUUAUCUACGCCAUUGUAGUCAAGCAGCUUAAAAUGAGGUUUCAGCUUCUAACCGUCUCCCCUGAGACAACUUUUUGACAAUUUGACCUCAAAUCAGGUAGGACUACCCGCUGAACUUAAGCAUAUCAAAGCGGAGGA